Molecule: transfer RNA, 72 nt
Filed under: Scleropages formosus (Asian bonytongue)
Lineage: Eukaryota; Metazoa; Chordata; Actinopteri; Osteoglossiformes; Osteoglossidae
Rfam family: tRNA
About the family: Transfer RNA (tRNA) molecules are approximately 80 nucleotides in length. Their secondary structure includes four short double-helical elements and three loops (D, anti-codon, and T loops).
Source: Rfam by way of RNAcentral
AGCAGAGUGGUGCAGCGGAAGCAUGCUGGGCCCAUAACCCAGAGGUUGAUGGAUCCAAACCACCCUCUGCUA